This 1123-nucleotide long non-coding RNA is filed under the name Mustela putorius furo (domestic ferret). RNAcentral describes it as "lncRNA (ENSMPUG00000031140.1)". The record is from RNAcentral. Lineage: Eukaryota; Metazoa; Chordata; Mammalia; Carnivora; Mustelidae.
ACCCCUAGUACCUCAGAAUGUGACUAGUAUUGGGAGACAGGGCCUUCAAAGAAGUGGUUAAGAUGACAGUAUUAGGAUGGGGUCUGAGCCAAUCUUACGAGGGGUAUCCUUGUAAGAGGAGGAGAUUAGGACACAGCACCACAGAGGGAAGACCUUGUGAGGACACAGGGAGAAGAUGGCAUCCAUAGGCCUGGGAGAAGUCACAGGACUCCCCAUAGGCCAGGGAGUCCUGUCGUGGACUUCUAGCCUCCAGAACUGUGAGUUAAGGAAUUUCUGUCACUUGUGCUACCGAGCGUGCAGGGGCAGCAUUAUGGAGGCCCUGGAAAACUUACAGCCAUCUUCCCUCCCUGUGCGGACACCAUGACCAGAGCCUCUGCCCCUGAGACCAAACAUACAAAACUCGCCUCACUGCCAGCCCCAUGCCCAAGACGCCUGAGGGUAAAGCAGUCUCACAAGUUUUGUCUGCAGAUGGGACAUGAUACUGUGAAAGUCUUAGCACCCUCUGCACUCUCAGCAGGGGCCCAGCCCACCUGUAAGGACCUCUUCUUCCAGAAACUCCCUUGACCUCACUGCUCUUCUUUCUCCAUCUCCUGUGAACACCCAUGCUAGGGGUUCUCCAAUAGAAAUGCACAGAAAAAAUGAUCUUGUUAAGUCAUAAUCAUCAAACAUUCUUCUGCUGGUUCUACAUCCAAUCUCCUCAAUUAGAAUCUCGGGAACCCGAAAAGGGGAAACACACACACACGCACCGACAGAAGAAGACAUGAUGGAGAGACAAUGGGUGCCACAGUCUCCCAUCCGUAUCUGCCAGCCCCGCAGCACACGGCAUAAUUCAACUGUAAUUGAUAAUGUGAGGGCAGAUGGAGAGGACUGUCAGCUCCUCCCUUGGAUCUCUGGGGACCCGGCAGAAAUCAAAGCAGAUGGCCCAAUUGCUUCUUCUUUAUGUGUUGCUGCGAGCUCCUCUGUCUGCAGGAUAAUGGAUCAUUACGGCCUGCUGUGUACAAACACCAAUAUGCUUUUAAAUCUGGUUCUCAAGCUUAUGAAAAAGCACUAUAUUUCAUAUUAAUUUGUGGAAGCUGCACUUAACAAGGUCCACUGUUGUUAAUUUACGGUUUGGGAGCCGGGG